UUUGACAAAAUCUCUCAAAAAAAUAGAAAAGUUUUCGCAAUUCCCUCAUAACCCAAAACAAACUAAAAAUAAAACUGAUAGGACAAUUAUACCCCCAUACUUGUAUUCUUCUUUGUCAAAUCGAAUAAUGUUUGAACGCUUGUUGCUACUAAUAAAGGCCACUGACCAGCAGAGAUCCGGUGGGAGUCCGGCGACGGUGAGUGUUUCCCUCAGAUUUUAUUCAUGUUUUAUUUUGAUUCUGUCAUCUUCUUCCACCCCAAUCGAAUUCAUAUUUAAAAUAAUAUUCUACCAGAAAUUUGUCAGUAUCCAACCCAAAGCAAUAUGAUUACACAGUUGAAAAAUGAUGUCUAGUUAUUUUGAUCAACCAAUAAUCGUAGCCGAGGUUGAUGAUGAUGAUGGUAAUGGGGAAUGACGGAGGCGACGAGUGACUAAAGAGGAGCAAUGGCGGUUUAGCUAUUGUGAUCAACCGAUUACGAGUCAUAAUCAAAAUAUGAUUAUAAUCAAAACAAGUACAGUAUCAUAAUCCAAACUUACAACGAGCGUCUCAACAUUGCUCUCAUCGUUUACCCAAAUUUUUAAAAAUCUCAGGGAUGUUGACUUUGACAUUAUAUGUGGAUGAUGGAAGUCCCGAUGGUACUCAAGUCGUUGCAAAACAGUUGCAGCAAGUUUACGGUGAAGAUUGCGUUAUCAAUAUUUUAUUUAUGUUAGAUACUUAUAUUUCAUUUUGGUGACAUGCGCUUAAAUUUGCUUGUUGUAACUGCCUCUCUAUUCCUACUCUUCUUGAUUGAUGCAGCUGUUAAGACCUCUUGGUUUAGGUGGUUCUUAUGUGGUUUGCUACAUCUUUUUAAUGCUAAUAAAUGUAUUUUGUAUGGUUAUAUGACAAUCUAUGAUUUAUUUUAAGUUUUCAGAGCUGUUUGUACUUGA
Mercurialis annua (annual mercury) is the source of this 924-nucleotide long non-coding RNA. RefSeq lists it as uncharacterized. The record is from RefSeq and is a predicted model, not a curated record. The transcript is spliced from 2 exons. NCBI's taxonomy places the organism in Eukaryota, Viridiplantae, Streptophyta, Magnoliopsida, Malpighiales, Euphorbiaceae.